ACGCAGGAGGUGGACCAACGGUCAGAGGAUGCAGCAGCCGGGAACAGAUAACAGCAGACCACCGGAGCAGGAACCUACACACCCCUUUAAAGUCGGAGACAGAGUCGUGGUGAAGGUGCUCCCCAGGAACAAGAGCCCAGGAGACUUCACCUAUGGUCCAGAGACAGAGGUCGUAGCAGUUACCCGAACAGCAGUCCUGACAGAGGAAAGUCCUACCUGGAUCCAUGCAUCCCGAGUAAAAAAAAAGGUUCCUAGACCAGACCUAGAGAGGGAAGCAAGUGAUUCCAGUGAGGUACGAACCGGGGCAGACAGCCCUGACCUCCCACCUAGCGAAGAAAGAAGAACAGAAGAAGAUGAGGAACCUGUCCCCUAUCUUUAUCCUGGGGACUACCUUGAUAGCCCUACUGGCCCUCACUCACCACACUUACUAACCCUACCUUUGAAGACACCCUAGCUAUUGAAACUGGUUUCUCUGACAUUAAUUUUUGGUUGGAAUGGAUGAAGUAUAGUGCUAACAAACACAAUAAAAGCAACUGUUAUGUCUGUGGCAAAUCUAGGCCCCACCUAGGUACAGUGCCCCUUAAUAUACCCCUAGAACAAGAAAAUUGUUUUUUUUUUCAGCCUUUUUAAUGACACCAAAACAAAUGACAGUCAGUGCGAAAUGUGGAAAAGGGAAUAUCCCAUAUUGUCAAAAAAUCCCAACCCAGGAAGCACCAUAACCAUAUAUCCUGGAAACUACACUUGUUAUACAUCUAACACCACAACAGGGAGAAAUUUAAAAACCUUCCCACCAGGGUAUUGUGCAAAUAAAAGAACAACUGUUUUAGUCAACCAAACUAGAUCAUUAGGCGACAUUUAUUACAUAUGUGGGAAACUGUAAAUAAAAACGUAGCCUGGAUUAAUUAUAUAUAUUAUAAUCAACAAAGAUUUGUUAAUGAUACCAAAGAUGCUCUUAAAGGUAUAGCUGAACAGCUAGAAGCCACUUCCCAAAUGACAUUCCAAAAUAGAAUGGCCCUUGACAUGAUCCUAGCAGAAAAAGGCGGUACAUGUGUUUACAUUAGUAAGGUGGAAGGCUGUUGUACAUAUAUUCCUGACAACACUGGUCCCAAUGGUAAGGUUACUUUAGCCAUAAACAAGUUAGAAACCUUAUCCAUAGAACUUAAGAAAAAUUCAGGUAUUGAUAACCCAUGGAGCCAAUAUUUUGGGUGGUUUGAAAAUUGGAAACAGGCUCUUGUGCAAAUAAGCAUAUUUAAACUCAUAACUUUAAUUCUUUUAGGCAUUAUAGUUUAUUGUGUAAUUCCCUGUGGAAAGAAACUUACCUCCAAAGGCAUUGAUAAGGCCCUGAUGUAUUAUGACAUAACCACCAGUCCUGUCACCUCCUCUGAUAGUAAGGGACCCGACGAUUAUGUCCAAUAUCUCAAGAACUGGAGGAACAAGAAAGGAGCCUCACUCAAGAAUCAUGUCAUAUAAUAAUCAUGAUUCUAAGAGGGGAUUGAAGGGUUACCUCUUCUGUCUUUGUACAUAUUACUUUUUAUAUGAUCAGUUUCCUUAUAAUAAUUACAGUGUAAAAGUGAAUAUUUCUAUUUCCCUAGUGAAGGGUUAAAACAUGCUUUAUGAACUCUUAUGUGUUUGCAAUGGAUGCUGCUGCCCUGUGUUAGAUGCCUUUGUCUCUCAUACAGAUACCAGGCUUGUGUGGGUCUGGCAUCCAAGGUCAGCUCUCUACUAGAUGAAACCUGCUUUUUCUACUUCUGUGUGUUACUAAAAGAUCCUUUGUUAAGUUUCGCCUGAUGUAACAUAUAUAACAUCUGCCUGGCAACUGCUAUAUCCAAUUAUGUUAUGUCAAGUAUUAACCACCCCUACGUACCCCACCCAGGCACCUACCCCUAAGCCAAUGAGCCCUUUUACACUUGUCAGUUCCACCCAUAUGCAUUGUCUUAUAUACUCUUGUUAACUUUAUAAUAAACAGUGUGAAUUUUAA
Molecule: long non-coding RNA, 1978 nt
Organism: Pseudophryne corroboree (corroboree frog)
Lineage: Eukaryota; Metazoa; Chordata; Amphibia; Anura; Myobatrachidae
Exons: 2
Source: RefSeq, a predicted model, not a curated record